UACGUAGGCAGCAAGCGUUGUUCGGAGUUACUGGGCGGAAAGGGUGUGUAGGCGGUUUUCUAAGUCUGGUGUGAAAUCUCCCGGCUCAACUGGGAGGGUGCGCCGAAAACUGGAAGGCUAGAGUGCGGGAUGGGAGAGUGGAAUUCCUGGUGUAGCGGUGAAAUGCGUAGAUAUCAGGAGGAACACCUGUGGUGUAGACGGCUCUCUGGACCGCAACUGACGCUGAGACACGAAAGCGUGGGUAGCAAACAGG
This 253-nucleotide ribosomal RNA is filed under the name uncultured bacterium. RNAcentral's name for it is "partial 16S ribosomal RNA". It matches the Rfam family "Bacterial small subunit ribosomal RNA", at positions 524 to 776 of the family's 1533-position model. The record is from RNAcentral.